GGGGGGGGGGGGGGGGGGGCGGGGGGCGGGGGGGGCGGGCGGGGGGAGGAGGAGCGGGCUCCGCGGGCGGGAGCGGCGGACGGGGGAGUAACACGUGGAUAACCUACCUAUAAGACUGGGAUAACUUCGGGAAACCGGAGCUAAUACCGGAUAAUAUAUUGAACCGCAUGGUUCAAUAGUGAAAGACGGUUUUGCUGUCACUUAUAGAUGGAUCCGCGCCGCAUUAGCUAGUUGGUAAGGUAACGGCUUACCAAGGCAACGAUGCGUAGCCGACCUGAGAGGGUGAUCGGCCACACUGGAACUGAGGCACGGUCCAGACUCCUACGGGAGGCAGCAGUAGGGAAUCUUCCGCAAUGGGCGAAAGCCUGACGGAGCAACGCCGCGUGAGUGAUGAAGGUCUUCGGAUCGUAAAACUCUGUUAUUAGGGAAGAACAAAUGUGUAAGUAACUAUGCACGUCUUGACGGUACCUAAUCAGAAAGCCACGGCUAACUACGUG
This 497-nucleotide ribosomal RNA is filed under the name uncultured bacterium. Its description in RNAcentral is "partial 16S ribosomal RNA". It matches the Rfam family "Bacterial small subunit ribosomal RNA", at positions 35 to 507 of the family's 1533-position model. The record is from RNAcentral.